Molecule: long non-coding RNA, 1522 nt
Organism: Toxorhynchites rutilus septentrionalis
Lineage: Eukaryota; Metazoa; Arthropoda; Insecta; Diptera; Culicidae
Exons: 5
Source: RefSeq, a predicted model, not a curated record
GUUUACAAUCUCAAACAAAAGCGAAUUCAUUUAUUCCAUUGAAUUUUUUGUAAUCGGUGAUAAUAGUUCGGAGUGAUUGAACUGCAACUAAAAAGAUUUGCAUUGUAAUAAAGAUCGGACCAAAGAGAAGUCGGAACGAAUUGCAGCCUGGUUAUCAUCUGGCCCUACAGACUCCCACGGACUUCCAGCGUACUCUCCCUUCUCUGCUCAACUCGGUGAACUCCGGGCCGUUUCAGGUAUUUUAGGACCUACACUUCACAAGAAUUGCUCGUAGUUUUAAUUGUUGUUAGAGACAAUCUGUGGAUACCAAACAACAAUCGGACGCAUGAUAUAUGCCCAAAGAAUUUCCCUGCAAAUCUUCAAUCUCGUAACAGGACGAUCUGAUUUUUCCUACUACCUUCGCCAAGGAAAACGUAUCUGCCAAUUUCGCAGAAAAAUUUUUGGAUUUAUUGGACUGGACAAAGUUUUUCUUCAUCACCGUUUCUCCUAUUUCAAACGUUGUCUCAAUUUCCAAGAUGUGAAGUGUGAUGCAGAACAAUUCGUUGGAGCUUCGAAAUGAAAAUGAAAUCCAAUUUACCCAAUACAAAUUCAAAUAAACUUCGAGGAAGUUGUAACUUAAGUCUUCAAAACUAUGAAUUUCAAAUAACUUAUCCGAAUAUUUACUUUACAAAAAACUAAUAAUUCAAAUUUUAACCACUAAACUAACCCUAUUAAUAAUAAAUUCAAUUCAAUAUAUCUACAAAUUCAAAUAACAAUAAUAAUAUAUACAAUUGUUUUUUUAGAACCAAACCGUUAGUUGGGCGCCAAAUGUAACGGGAGGAAGGAUAUCGAGGACAAGGAGGCGAUACAACCUUCACUUAAGCGCCAGGCAAGUUAUUACACUUGCCGUGAAGGAGCGAGAUUUGUCUCUUCAGUUUCCCGUGCCCGACCGUGAGACCUCAGGGCGAGUUCCUGCCAACGAUCUUCAACCCACACUUGAAUUGUCUUGGCGCUCACCAAGGAAUAGAAUUCAAUCAAAUUGGUAUUCAAAACAUCCAGGAUGGAAAGGUUUCCUUUGAAGGUUUGCCUUCCCAGAGCCUAUGCUACCUCGAACCCGAAAACCGAACAAUUGAAGAGCCUCCAAACAGCCAAAAUUCAAUCAACAUAAAUUAUAAUGUGAAAUACAGUAUCUAAGUUAUCGCCAGGUCCACAAGUUAUCGCCAGGUCCACAAGUUAUCGCCAGGCCCAUAUAAUCAAACCAGCAACCAUACCCACGGCAUAAGACGUGCUGUGACUGUAAACAACGGAACCGGAUCGCAGCAGAGACCAACCGCGGAGGCAUCAAAUUAUGCCGAUUCAACAUCUCUCCAAGUAAUAAUGAUUUCCAACUCGUAUUGUACCAAAAAGAAAUUGAAUAAAGAUUCAGAUUAAAUUAGUGAGCCGACGAGAACAGUCGCGUUUUCCUUUUUAGCUUUAGCUUAGUUUAGUUAGUCUUUUUUUAAAAACUCCACUUCCUCACAUGGGAAGUUAAGUGGCGCAGUCG